Molecule: ribosomal RNA, 346 nt
Filed under: uncultured bacterium
Lineage: Bacteria
Description: partial 16S ribosomal RNA
Rfam family: Bacterial small subunit ribosomal RNA
Source: RNAcentral
CCUACGGGUGGCAGCAGUGAGGAAUAUUGGUCAAUGGCCGGAAGGCUGAACCAGCCAUGCCGCGUGAAGGACAGGGACCUAGGGGCGUGAAACUUCUUGUGGGCGGGAGCAAGAAUGGGCACGGGGGGCCAGACGAGAGUACCGUACGAAUAAGCAGCGGCGAACUCCGGGCCAGCAGCCGCGGUAAGACGGAGGGGGCAAGCGUUAUCCGGAUUUACUGGGUGUAAAGGGAGCGCAGGCGGCACGGCAAGCCUGAUGUGAAAGCCCGCGGCCCAUCCGCGGGACUGCCUUUGGAACUCCCGGGCUGGAGUGCCGGAGAGGUAGGCGGACUUCCUAGUGUAGCGGU